This 253-nucleotide ribosomal RNA is filed under the name uncultured bacterium. RNAcentral describes it as "partial 16S ribosomal RNA". It matches the Rfam family "Bacterial small subunit ribosomal RNA", at positions 524 to 776 of the family's 1533-position model. The record is from RNAcentral.
GACGUAGGGCGCGAGCGUUGUCCGGAUUUAUUGGGCGUAAAGAGCUCGUAGGCGGCUUGUCGCGUCGUUCGUGAAAACCUGUGGCUCAACUACAGGCUUGCGGUCGAUACGGGCAGGCUGGAGUUCGGUAGGGGAGACUGGAAUUCCUGGUGUAGCGGUGAAAUGCGUAGAUAUCGUAAGGAAGACCAGUGGCGAAGGCGGGUCUCUGGACAGUUCCUGACGCUGAGGCACGAAGGUCAGGGGAGCAAACGGG